GCUUGCUUAGUUCAUCGGUAGAACGUAUCCAUGGUAAGGAUAAAAGGCUAGUUCGAUUCUGGCAGUGAGCACCA
Molecule: transfer RNA, 74 nt
Filed under: Klebsiella oxytoca
Lineage: Bacteria; Pseudomonadati; Pseudomonadota; Gammaproteobacteria; Enterobacterales; Enterobacteriaceae
Also listed under: 5 other names
Description: tRNA-Thr
Rfam family: tRNA
About the family: Transfer RNA (tRNA) molecules are approximately 80 nucleotides in length. Their secondary structure includes four short double-helical elements and three loops (D, anti-codon, and T loops). Further hydrogen bonds mediate the characteristic L-shaped molecular structure. tRNAs have two regions of fundamental functional importance: the anti-codon, which is responsible for specific mRNA codon recognition, and the 3' end, to which the tRNAs corresponding amino acid is attached (by aminoacyl-tRNA synthetases). tRNAs cope with the degeneracy of the genetic code in two manners: having more than one tRNA (with a specific anti-codon) for a particular amino acid; and 'wobble' base-pairing, i.e. permitting non-standard base-pairing at the 3rd anti-codon position.
Source: RNAcentral